AACGAACGCUGGCGGCAUGCCUAACACAUGCAAGUCGAACGAGACCUUCGGGUCUAGUGGCGCACGGGUGCGUAACGCGUGGGAGCCUGCCCUUAGGUUCGGAAUAACUCCCCGAAAGGGGUGCUAAUACCGGAUAAUGUCUUCGGACCAAAGAUUUAUCGCCUUUGGAUGGGCCCGCGUUGGAUUAGCUAGUUGGUAGGGUAAAAGCCUACCAAGGCGACGAUCCAUAGCUGGUCUGAGAGGAUGAUCAGCCACACUGGGACUGAGACACGGCCCAGACUCCUACGGGAGGCAGCAGUGGGGAAUAUUGGACAAUGGGCGAAAGCCUGAUCCAGCAAUGCCGCGUGAGUGAUGAAGGCCUUAGGGUUGUAAAGCCCUUUUACCCGGGAUGAUAAUGACAGUACCGGGAGAAUAAGCUCCGGCUAACUCCGUG
This 433-nucleotide ribosomal RNA is filed under the name uncultured bacterium. RNAcentral describes it as "partial 16S ribosomal RNA". It matches the Rfam family "Bacterial small subunit ribosomal RNA", at positions 29 to 507 of the family's 1533-position model. The record is from RNAcentral.